AACGAACGCUGGCGGCAGGCUUAACACAUGCAAGUCGAGCGCACUCUUCGGAGUGAGCGGCGGACGGGUGAGUAACGCGUGGGAACGUGCCCUUUGCUACGGAAUAGCCCCGGGAAACUGGGAUUAAUACCGUAUACGCCCUAUGGGGGAAAGAUUUAUCGGCGAAGGAUCGGCCCGCGUUAGAUUAGGUAGUUGGUGGGGGUAAUGGCCUACCAAGCCGACGAUCUAUAGCUGGUUUGAGAGGAUGAUCAGCCACACUGGGACUGAGACACGGCCCAGACUCCUACGGAAGGCAGCAGUGGGGAAUCUUAGACAAUGGGGGAAACCCUGAUCUAGCCAUGCCGCGUGUGUGAUGAAGGCCCUAGGGUCGUAAAGCACUUUCGCCUGGGAAGAUAAUGACGGUACCAGGUAAAGAAACCCCGGCUAACUCCGUG
This 434-nucleotide ribosomal RNA is filed under the name uncultured bacterium. Its description in RNAcentral is "bacterial SSU rRNA". It matches the Rfam family "Bacterial small subunit ribosomal RNA", at positions 29 to 507 of the family's 1533-position model. The record is from RNAcentral.